UGUUGUGAUGAUACUGGUAAUAGGAAGUGCCGUCAGAAGCGAUAACUGACGAUGUUUUAUGCCCGUCUGACC
This 72-nucleotide small nucleolar RNA is filed under the name Dasypus novemcinctus (nine-banded armadillo). RNAcentral's name for it is "Small nucleolar RNA SNORD49 (ENSDNOG00000029219.1)". It matches the Rfam family "Small nucleolar RNA SNORD49". From Rfam's summary of the family: U49 belongs to the C/D class of snoRNA which contain the C (UGAUGA) and D (CUGA) box motifs. Most of the members of the box C/D family function in directing site-specific 2'-O-methylation of substrate RNAs. The record is from RNAcentral. Lineage: Eukaryota; Metazoa; Chordata; Mammalia; Cingulata; Dasypodidae.